CAUCAUACAUUCAUCCAGAUCCAGCGUGCCGGUCAUCCACCGCCGCUCAUCCGCCGCCUGCAUCCACCGUCAGUCAUCCACCGCCGCUCCACCACGCCUGCAUCCACGCCGGUCAUCCACCACGCCUGCAUCCACCGUCAGUCAUCCACCGCCGCUCAUCCACCGUCAGUCAUCCGCCGCAAUUUAAAGGUUCUAAUGAAGUUAAUUUGGAUGAGCUCACUGAAGAUAUAAUGUCACUUGAUAUUAGUGGAGAAUCAAAUGCUUCAAACUCAAUGAACACUUCUAAGGUUUGAAUUGUUGGAAUUAAAGAUCUAAGAGGAGAACCAUGGCAACUUGGAAACUUUGAACUUGUUUUUAAUGGAUAUAUUGAAUUAUUUAAGUCUUUUGUGAUUUGCCGUUUAUGGAUUUUUGUU
This 413-nucleotide long non-coding RNA is filed under the name Helianthus annuus (common sunflower). RNAcentral's name for it is "sRNA HanXRQr2_Chr15g0681061". The record is from RNAcentral. Lineage: Eukaryota; Viridiplantae; Streptophyta; Magnoliopsida; Asterales; Asteraceae.